Molecule: ribosomal RNA, 2512 nt
Filed under: Clostridioides difficile DA00165
Lineage: Bacteria; Bacillati; Bacillota; Clostridia; Peptostreptococcales; Peptostreptococcaceae
Description: bacterial LSU rRNA
Rfam family: Bacterial large subunit ribosomal RNA
Source: RNAcentral
GAAGACUUCAGAUAUGAUCCAGAGUACCACGGGACACGUGAAACCCUGUGGGAAGCAGGAGGGACCACCCUCCAAGGCUAAAUACUACCUAGUGACCGAUAGCGUAUAGUACCGUGAGGGAAAGGUGAAAAGAACCCCGGGAGGGGAGUGAAAUAGAACCUGAAACCCUGCACUUACAAGCUGUGGAAGCACAUUUCUUGUGUGACCGCGUACUUUUUGUAGAACGGGCCAACGAGUUACGUUAAGUAGCAAGGUUAAGCACUUAAGGUGGGAGCCGUAGCGAAAGCGAGUUUUAACUGAGCGUUCAGUUACUUGACGUAGACCCGAAACCGGGCGACCUACCCAUGAGCAGGAUGAAGCGAAAGUAAAAUUUCGUGGAGGUCCGAACCCACGAGCGUUGAAAAGCUCGGGGAUGACUUGUGGGUAGCGGUGAAAUUCCAAUCGAGCCCGGAGAUAGCUGGUUCUCCCCGAAAUAGCUUUAGGGCUAGCCUCAAGGUGAGAGAUACGGAGGUAGAGCACUGAAUGUCCUAGGGGGUAUUGCACCUACCGAAGACUAUCAAACUCCGAAUGCCGUCAUCUUAUACUUGGGAGUCAGACUGUGGGUGAUAAGAUUCAUAGUCGAAAGGGCAACAGCCCAGAUCGUCAGCUAAGGUCCCUAAAUGUAAGUUAAGUGGUAAAGGAUGUGGGAUUGCACAGACAACCAGGAUGUUGGCUUAGAAGCAGCCACUCAUUCAAAGAGUGCGUAAUAGCUCACUGGUCGAGUGAUCCUGCGCCGAAGAUUUCCGGGGCUAAAACUUACUACCGAAGCUACGGCAUCAGUAAUGAUGGGUAGGGGAGCUUCCCAUACGGGUUGAAGCAUGACCGUAAGGACAUGUGGACAGUAUGGGAGUGAGAAUGUUGGCAUGAGUAGCGAGAUGUGGGUGAGAAUCCCACAGGCCGUAAACCCAAGGUUUCCAGGGGAAGGUUCGUCCGCCCUGGGUUAGUCGGGACCUAAGCUGAGGCCGAAAGGCGUAGGUGAUGGACAACAGGUUGAUAUUCCUGUACUACCGAUAACCAUUUGAGAGAAGGGAUGACACAGUAGGAUAAGCUAAGCACACUGUUGGUUAUGUGUGCCCAAGCAUUGAGGCAGUCAAAGUAGGCAAAUCCGCUUUGAUAAUGCUGGGAUGUGAUGGGGAGCGAAAUUUAGUAGCGAAGUAGCUGAUUUCACACUGUCAAGAAAAGUCUCUAUCGAGGUUAAAGGUACCCGUACCGCAAACCGACACAGGUGGGUGAGGAGAGUAUCCUAAGGCCAGCGAGAGAACUGUUGUUAAGGAACUCGGCAAAAUGACCCCGUAACUUAGGGAUAAGGGGUGCCACCAUCCGGUGGCCGCAGAGAAUAGGCCCAAGCGACUGUUUACCAAAAACAUAGGUUUCUGCUAAGUCGCAAGACGAUGUAUAGGAGCUGACGCCUGCCCGGUGCUGGAAGGUUAAGGGGAUCUGUUAGAGCAAUCGAAGCAGUGAACUUAAGCCCCAGUAAACGGCGGCCGUAACUAUAACGGUCCUAAGGUAGCGAAAUUCCUUGUCGGGUAAGUUCCGACCCGCACGAAAGGCGUAACGAUUUGGGCACUGUCUCAACAAUAGACUCGGUGAAAUUGUAAUUCCGGUGAAGAUGCCGGAUACCUGCGACAGGACGGAAAGACCCCAUGGAGCUUUACUGUAGCUUGACAUUGGGUCUUGGUACUACAUGUACAGGAUAGGUGGGAGGCUUUGAAACCAGGACGCCAGUUUUGGCGGAGCCAUCCUUGGGAUACCACCCUUGUAGUACUGGGACUCUAACCAUAGGCCAUGAAUCUGGUCUUGGGACACUGUCAGGUGGGCAGUUUGACUGGGGCGGUCGCCUCCCAAAAGGUAACGGAGGCGCUCAAAGGUUCUCUCAGUACGGUCGGAAAUCGUACGUAGAGUGUAAAGGCAAAAGAGAGCUUGAUUGCAAGACAUACAGGUCGAGCAAGGAUGGAAAUCGGACUUAGUGAUCCGGUGGUUCUGCGUGGAAGGGCCAUCGCUCAACGGAUAAAAGCUACCCUGGGGAUAACAGGCUUAUCUCCCCCAAGAGUCCACAUCGACGGGGAGGUUUGGCACCUCGAUGUCGGCUCAUCACAUCCUGGGGCUGUAGUAGGUCCCAAGGGUUGGGCUGUUCGCCCAUUAAAGUGGUACGCGAGCUGGGUUCAGAACGUCGUGAGACAGUUCGGUCCCUAUCCGUCGCAGGCGUAGGAAAUUUGAGAAGACCUGUCCUUAGUACGAGAGGACCGGGAUGGACGUACCUCUGGUGUACCAGUUGUUCUGCCAAGGGCAUGGCUGGGUAGCUAUGUACGGAAUGGAUAAGCGCUGAAAGCAUCUAAGCGCGAAGCCAACUUCAAGAUAAGAUUUCCCACCGUAAGGGUAAGACCCCAGAAAGACUAUCUGGUUGAUAGGUCGAAGGUGUAAGUGCAGCAAUGUAUUUAGCUUAUCGAUACUAAUAGGUCGAGGACUUGACCAA